GGGAUGCCUAAGGUAGGACUGAUGACUGGGGUGAAGUCGUAACAAGGUAGCCGUACCGGAAGGUGUGGCUGGAUCACCUCCUUUUAGGGAGACCCAAAUCAAGUCAAAAGGCAAAAGUCAAAAGUCAAAAAUCAAGACCUAGACAAAAAACCUAGACUUCGGUUUAUCCCAAGGUCGGUCGAGAUUGGUAGAUAUCUUUCAAAGUAUUAUUCGGCUUAGUUCAAAAAUUGAAUCAAAGUGAGCACCUAACAAACAUAGUUAGACUGCUGGGUUAAAUUCCAGCCAGAACCUUGAAAACUGCAUAAGAGAAAGAGAAAAAGCACCGCAGACACAGACAUUGAGAUGGAUGUGAAAGCAAACAAGCAGACAUUGUGGUCAAGCUAAUAAGGGCUAAUGGUGGAUACCUAGGCACC
This 413-nucleotide unclassified non-coding RNA is filed under the name uncultured cyanobacterium. RNAcentral's name for it is "partial 16S-23S ribosomal RNA intergenic spacer". The stretch from base 1 to 84 matches the Rfam family "Bacterial small subunit ribosomal RNA", at positions 1450 to 1533 of the family's 1533-position model. Lineage: Bacteria; Bacillati; Cyanobacteriota. The record is from RNAcentral.